UGUGAACUUUGGAUACUGAUGACCUGUCCAUGUCAGUGUUCAUUCCUCCGACACUGAGACUCAAGAACCUGGUCUUGGGGAUCCAGGAACACUACUACUCAGUCCUUCCUGGGGUGACUCUCUCCACAAAUUAGACACAAGAAUGUCUCCUCUUCGGAGUUCUGGUUGAUCUGGUCAACGUGUCACACUGUGGUCGAAUCUUCCAAACAUCCCACCCACUCCCUCUCUACAAUGAGAAGGUGAUUCUCGAAAUGU
This 255-nucleotide long non-coding RNA is filed under the name Mustela putorius furo (domestic ferret). Its description in RNAcentral is "lncRNA (ENSMPUG00000026222.1)". The record is from RNAcentral. Lineage: Eukaryota; Metazoa; Chordata; Mammalia; Carnivora; Mustelidae.